Molecule: ribosomal RNA, 720 nt
Filed under: uncultured bacterium
Lineage: Bacteria
Description: bacterial SSU rRNA
Rfam family: Bacterial small subunit ribosomal RNA
Source: RNAcentral
AAGUCGAACGGAGAUUACUUCGGUAAUCUUAGUGGCGAACGGGUGAGUAACGCGUGGGCAACCUGCCCUCUAGAUGGGGACAACAUCCCGAAAGGGGUGCUAAUACCGAAUAUGACAGCAAUCUCGCAUGAGGAUGCUGUGAAAGAUGGCCUCUAUUUAUAAGCUAUCGCUAGAGGAUGGGCCUGCGUCUGAUUAGCUAGUUGGUGGGGUAACGGCCUACCAAGGCGAUGAUCAGUAGCCGGUCUGAGAGGAUGAACGGCCACAUUGGGACUGAGACACGGCCCAGACUCCUACGGGAGGCAGCAGUGGGGAAUCUUCCGCAAUGGGCGAAAGCCUGACGGAGCAAUGCCGCGUGAGUGAUGAAGGAAUUCGUUCCGUAAAGCUCUUUUGUUUAUGACGAAUGUGCAGGUUGUGAAUAAUGACUUGUAAUGACGGUAGUAAACGAAUAAGCCACGGCUAACUACGUGCCAGCAGCCGCGGUAAUACGUAGGUGGCGAGCGUUGUCCGGAAUUAUUGGGCGUAAAGAGCAUGUAGGCGGUUUUUUAAGUCUGGAGUGAAAAUGCGGGGCUCAACCCCGUAUGGCUCUGGAUACUGGAAGACUUGAGUGCAGGAGAGGAAAGGGGAAUUCCCAGUGUAGCGGUGAAAUGCGUAGAUAUUGGGAGGAACACCAGUGGCGAAGGCGCCUUUCUGGACUGUGUCUGACGCUGAGAUGCGAAAGCC